UGACUCUGGUUUUCUUCUAUUACGCCACAAGCCUUUCGCCUUUACUAAACGGACUUCCGUGGAGGAGGAAACACUACGAGUUCAACUAUUUUUGGGAGAGGCUUUGCUUAUUGCAGAGGC
Molecule: small nuclear RNA, 120 nt
Filed under: Oncorhynchus tshawytscha (Chinook salmon)
Lineage: Eukaryota; Metazoa; Chordata; Actinopteri; Salmoniformes; Salmonidae
Description: U5 spliceosomal RNA
Rfam family: U5 spliceosomal RNA
About the family: U5 RNA is a component of both types of known spliceosome. The precise function of this molecule is unknown, though it is known that the 5' loop is required for splice site selection and p220 binding, and that both the 3' stem-loop and the Sm site are important for Sm protein binding and cap methylation.
Source: Rfam by way of RNAcentral